GUGCUCACUUUGGCAGCACAUAUACUAAAACUGGAAUGCUAUUAGUGUGGCCCCUGUGCAAGGAUGACACACAGACCAUGUAGGUUCCAUAUUUUU
RNAcentral lists this small nuclear RNA (96 nucleotides) under Octodon degus (degu). Lineage: Eukaryota; Metazoa; Chordata; Mammalia; Rodentia; Octodontidae. The record is from RNAcentral.